GAUGAACGCUGGCGGCGUGCUUAACACAUGCAAGUCGAACGAUGACUUCUGUGCUUGCACAGAAUGAUUAGUGGCGAACGGGUGAGUAACACGUGAGUAACCUGCCCUUAACUUCGGGAUAAGCCUGGGAAACUGGGUCUAAUACCGGAUACGACCAUCUGGCGCAUGCCAUGGUGGUGGAAAGCUUUAUGCGGUUUUGGAUGGACUCGCGGCCUAUCAGCUUGUUGGUUGGGGUAAUGGCCCACCAAGGCGACGACGGGUAGCCGGCCUGAGAGGGUGACCGGCCACACUGGGACUGAGACACGGCCCAGACUCCUACGGGAGGCAGCAGUGGGGAAUAUUGCACAAUGGGCGAAAGCCUGAUGCAGCGACGCCGCGUGAGGGAUGACGGCCUUCGGGUUGUAAACCUCUUUCAGCAGGGAAGAAGCGAAAGUGACGGUACCUGCAGAAGAAGCGCCGGCUAACUACGUGCCAGCAGCCGCCGUAAAAC
This 490-nucleotide ribosomal RNA is filed under the name uncultured bacterium. Its description in RNAcentral is "bacterial SSU rRNA". It matches the Rfam family "Bacterial small subunit ribosomal RNA", at positions 28 to 526 of the family's 1533-position model. The record is from RNAcentral.